Molecule: ribosomal RNA, 330 nt
Filed under: uncultured eukaryote
Lineage: Eukaryota
Description: partial 18S ribosomal RNA
Rfam family: Eukaryotic small subunit ribosomal RNA
Source: RNAcentral
CCCUUAGAUGUUCUGGGCCGCACGCGCGCUACACUGACGAAGUCAGCGAGCAUCUCCUACGCCGAAAGGUGCGGGGAAUCUUGUGAAACUUUGUCGUGCUGGGGAUUGAUUUUUGAAAUUCUUGAUCAUCAACGAGGAAUUCCUAGUAAGCGCAAGUCAGCAGCCUGCGUUGAUUACGUCCCUGCCCUUUGUACACACCGCCCGUCGCUACUACCGAUUGAAUGGUUUAGUGAGAUUUUUGGACUGGAACUCUCUUGUUCAGCAAUGAACGAGAGGGACUCUGGGAAGCUAUUCUAACUGUAUCAUUUAGAGGAAGUAAAAGUCGUAACA